CAGCCGCGGAAUUCCAGCUCCAAUAGCGUAUAUUAAAGUUGUUGCAGUUAAAAAGCUCGUAGUUGAAUUUCGGGAUCAAUUAAUUGGUCGUGCCUCUGGUACGUACUGAUUUUAUUGGUUUCUCCCUUCUGACGAACCAUGAUGUCAUUAAUUUGAUGUCGUGGAGAAUCAGGACUGUUACUUUGAAAAAAUUAGAGUGUUUAAAGCAAGCUAACGCUUGAAUACAUUAGCAUGGAAUAAUGAAAUAGGACGUUUGAUCCUAUUUUGUUGGUUUCUAGGAUCGACGUAAUGAUUAAUAGGGAUAGUUGGGGGCAUUAGUAUUCAAUUGUCAGAGGUGAAAUUCUUGGAUUUAUUGAAGACUAACUACUGCGAAAGCAUUUGCCAAGGAUGUUUUCAUUAAUCAAGAACGAAAGUUAGGGGAUCGAAGACGAUCAGAUACCGUCGUAGUCUUAACCAUAAACUAUGCCGACUAGGGAUCGGAUGAUGUUAAUUUUUUAAUGACUCAUUCGGCGCCUUACG
Molecule: unclassified non-coding RNA, 519 nt
Filed under: uncultured Glomeromycotina
Lineage: Eukaryota; Fungi; Glomeromycota
Description: SSU rRNA
Rfam family: Eukaryotic small subunit ribosomal RNA
Source: RNAcentral